CAGGAACCAAAGCAGAACAUUCCUUUUUCUUUUCUUCUUCAAGACUCAAUACAGAGAGCAAAUACUCGCAUCUCACUAGAAACUAUUUACACGAACACGGAGAUCGAAAAGAGAGCGAGCAGUCGAAGAGAGGUAUUUCCGGCGAGAUAUCACUGAAAAAUGCUACAGCCAUCUGCUUUUCUCCCUUUUGCCGAUAAUACCGAGCUCACUGGAGCUCCGGUGUAGUGAAAACACGACGGCCAUCCCCUUUGUUCCGUCCGAAUCCGCAUCAAACCAUUUUUCCGACCUCGGAAUCUGGUCUGUUUUCACGGUUGUGGUCGUCUUCUGCGUCACCGGUGAGAAAAAGUGAAACCGGCGCAAAACUUGGCAGAUCUGACCGGACAACGUCAAAAAUUGGCCGGUAUCUUUUGUCAUUUGUUUGGUUUAGGCGUCACCGGUCGAACGGGAGUUGUUUUUCGUCCUUGUUGCGAAUCGAUUUGGCGAUUAACCUCGCGCACUAAUUUGGUGAUUCCGAUUGCGAUUUCUAUUUCUGGUUCAUCGCUUCUCAUAUUAUUUUUUUUUUGGAAUUGGCUUUGGUACUUCAUCGGGUUCGUUCCUGUUUUGGGGAUUGGUUUUUUUUUUCGUUGGUCUUAAUCAAUUUUGUGGUGCAAAUUCUUUAAUAUCGGCGUUGGGAUUCGUCACUAUUGAGGUUCUGUUCCAAGUUCUGAAGUCCGGGCCUUCUUAAAUGUUAUUAUCAACGAAAUCGACUAUUGAAAGGUCCAAUUCUACUCUUUUCUUUUUCUAUUUUAUUGUUUACUAUGCUUUGAU
This 807-nucleotide long non-coding RNA is filed under the name Capsicum annuum. RNAcentral's name for it is "long non-coding RNA (CANN_LNC004586)". Lineage: Eukaryota; Viridiplantae; Streptophyta; Magnoliopsida; Solanales; Solanaceae. The record is from RNAcentral.